Molecule: long non-coding RNA, 263 nt
Filed under: Lathyrus oleraceus (garden pea)
Lineage: Eukaryota; Viridiplantae; Streptophyta; Magnoliopsida; Fabales; Fabaceae
Description: Pisum sativum (pea) long non-coding RNA (PSAT_LNC041086)
Source: RNAcentral
CUCAAUCAACGGAUACCAAGGAUCAACCAUAGGAAACGGUAGACAAGUGAGUUCCACUCUCUUACUAAGCCAGUCAUCAAACGGAGGAAAAGACCUGUUAUUGGCUCUGCCCCAAGAAAACUUGCCUUUCCUCUGAAUACUGCGCCAUGCAUCAGAUACUUGCUUCAACCUGGCCUGAUUGCCCUCAGCUGGGAAGUACAAAGUUUCCUGAACCUCACUCUUGAACGGAGGAAGCUCCAUAGCGAAUCCCAUUUGUCUCUUAA